AAUAUUGGACAAUGGGGGCAACCCUGAUCCAGCCAUGCCGCGUGUGUGAAGAAGGUCUUCGGAUUGUAAAGCACUUUAAGUGGGGAGGAAGGGCUUUAGGUUAAUACCCUGAAGUUUUGACGUUACCAACAGAAUAAGCACCGGCUAACUCUGUGCCAGCAGCCGCGAUACUACCGAGGGUGCAAGCGUUAAUCGGAAUUACGGGUCGUAAAGCGGGAGUAGGUGGGUCAGUAAGAUGGGUGUGAAACCCCCGGGAUUAACCUGGGAACUGCUUUCAUAACUGCUGAGCUAGAGUACGGUAGAGGGUAGUAGAAUUUCCUGUGUAGCGGUGAAAUGCGUAGAUAUAGGAAGGAACACCAGUGGCGAAGGCGACUACCUGGACUGAUACUGACACUGAGGUGCGAAAGCGUGGGGAGCAAAC
RNAcentral lists this ribosomal RNA (421 nucleotides) under uncultured bacterium. RNAcentral's name for it is "partial 16S ribosomal RNA". It matches the Rfam family "Bacterial small subunit ribosomal RNA", at positions 360 to 773 of the family's 1533-position model. The record is from RNAcentral.